Molecule: transfer RNA, 75 nt
Filed under: Pseudomonadota bacterium
Lineage: Bacteria; Pseudomonadati; Pseudomonadota
Also listed under: 2 other names
Description: tRNA-Gly
Rfam family: tRNA
About the family: Transfer RNA (tRNA) molecules are approximately 80 nucleotides in length. Their secondary structure includes four short double-helical elements and three loops (D, anti-codon, and T loops).
Source: RNAcentral
GCGGGUGUAGCUCAGUGGUAGAGCACAAGCUUCCCAAGCUUGGUGUCGAGGGUUCGAUUCCCUUCACCCGCUCCA